AGUCGAGGGGCAGCAUUUUAGUUUGCUUGCAAACGUGAAGAUGGCGACCGGCGCACGGGUGAGUAACACGUAUCCAACCUGCCGAUAACUCCGGAAUAGCCUUUCGAAAGAAAGAUUAAUACCGGAUGGCAUACGAAUAUCGCAUGAUAUUUUUAUUAAAGAAUUUCGGUUAUCGAUGGGGAUGCGUUCCAUUAGUUUGUUGGCGGGGUAACGGCCCACCAAGACUACGAUGGAUAGGGGUUCUGAGAGGAAGGUCCCCCACAUUGGAACUGAGACACGGUCCAAACUCCUACGGGAGGCAGCAGUGAGGAAUAUUGGUCAAUGGGCGCGAGCCUGAACCAGCCAAGUAGCGUGAAGGAUGAAGGCUCUAUGGGUCGUAAACUUCUUUUAUAUGGGAAUAAAGUUUUCCACGUGUGGAAUUUUGUAUGUACCAUAUGAAUAAGGAUCGGCUAACUCCGUGCCAGCAGCCGCGGUAAUACGGAGGAUCCGAGCGUUAUCCGGAUUUAUUGGGUUUAAAGGGAGCGUAGGUGGAUUGUUAAGUCAGUUGUGAAAGUUUGCGGCUCAACCGUAAAAUUGCAGUUGAAACUGGCAGUCUUG
This 597-nucleotide ribosomal RNA is filed under the name uncultured bacterium. Its description in RNAcentral is "bacterial SSU rRNA". It matches the Rfam family "Bacterial small subunit ribosomal RNA", at positions 60 to 644 of the family's 1533-position model. The record is from RNAcentral.